Molecule: unclassified non-coding RNA, 238 nt
Filed under: Hevea brasiliensis (rubber tree)
Lineage: Eukaryota; Viridiplantae; Streptophyta; Magnoliopsida; Malpighiales; Euphorbiaceae
Source: RNAcentral
GCAUGCAACCCAACAAAUUUUCGUUGGGCAUUAAUGGAGUCGCUAACUUUUUUAGUCACUAAAUGGCCUAAAGUCAAAGAAAAGAUAAUCAAAUACAGGAGAGAAAUAAGCAGCAGCAUGCCUCCGACUUACUUGAGCAUCAGCACCCGAAGAAACCAAGAUAUUGAGAUUAGUGGAAAAAGCUAAACCAGUAAUUCUCUUCUGGUGACCCUUCAGUUUUGAUUUCACCUAGAAAAAC